GAACGCUGGCGGCGUGCUUAACACAUGCAAGUCGAACGGACCUUCGGGUUAGUGGCGAACGGGUGAGUAACACGUGGGUGAUCUGCCCUGCACUUUGGGAUAAGCCUGGGAAACUGGGUCUAAUACCGGAUAGGACUACGCACUGCAUGGUGUGUGGUGGAAAGCUUUUGCGGUGUGGGAUGGGCCCGCGGCCUAUCAGCUUGUUGGUGGGGUGAUGGCCUACCAAGGCGACGACGGGUAGCCGGCCUGAGAGGGUGACCGGCCACACUGGGACUGAGAUACGGCCCAGACUCCUACGGGAGGCAGCAGUGGGGAAUAUUGCACAAUGGGCGCAAGCCUGAUGCAGCGACGCCGCGUGAGGGAUGACGGCCUUCGGGUUGUAAACCUCUUUCGCCAGGGACGAAGCGCAAGUGACGGUACCUGGAGAAGAAGGACCGGCCAACUAC
Molecule: ribosomal RNA, 446 nt
Filed under: Mycobacteriaceae bacterium 'ARUP UnID 418'
Lineage: Bacteria; Bacillati; Actinomycetota; Actinomycetes; Mycobacteriales; Mycobacteriaceae
Description: bacterial SSU rRNA
Rfam family: Bacterial small subunit ribosomal RNA
Source: RNAcentral